GCUUUGACAUAAUAUAGUAUAAUGUUACUCCACUGCUUAUUUGACUGGGUUGCUUAUGAUGGGCAAGUAAAGUAAGUCACUGGGUUAUAAUUACUGUACCUGGAUACAGUACAAUACAUAUUCAUAAUAGGACAAGGAAAAUAUUGCAACAAGGCAAGAUUAAAAACAUAUUUCUGUUUCAGUCUGUACAUGGAUACUGAAGUGUUGCAAGUGGCCCAUCACUCUGGCCAUCACGGAAGCUUCUCUGACAGUGAUGAGGUCUUUGAGAUGAUUGUGGCAAUUCAACUGACAAGUAUUGCGAUUGAAGUAACUGCUGUACUCUACCUGGUACAGCUCUACCACAAGCAGAGCUAAGAGGAGACCUAGUGCAGAGACGCCCAUCAGUGGAGUCCUCAGCUUCAGACCCAGUACUGCUUCAGACCUGUGUCGCUGAGCAGCAGGGUCCCCAGGGUGGAUCUUAGCCCCAGACCUGGACCCUGCAGGGGUCUGUCGCCCAGCCCAGACCACUGCCCCCUCAUCCUCAGCACCACAAGGGAAUCAGCUGGCUUUCACAGUAAACCCAGUGGCACCAGUCGCUCCACAAUCACAAUCAGUGCAACCAGCACAGGUAACACAGUCUGACCAACAGCAACAGCAGCAGCAGCAGCAACAGCAGCAACAGCAAUAGCAGAUGGCAGGUAGAAUGGGUCUCAUUGGGGAAGUACUUGCCCGGUUUAGGGAGAAGCAUGCUCACAGCCAGUCAGCCCAUCAGCACUGUGGCCUGAAAUCCAGAGCUUCCCUCCUUCAGUCUGCCCUCGCCUGGCCUCCUACCCACCAUGGGGUUCUCUCCUGGGGGUCUCCCCAGCAGACAGGCCAUCUAUCCUGGGUUGGUGGCCAACGUAGGUCUGCCUAUCCCUGGAGCCUUGCAUGAUACCACGGACCCUGCCUUUGGUCUGGACACAGCCACUCCCCCACCACUGGUCUAGCACGGUCACCAAUCAAAUUACCACGCUGACACACACCUGGAGACUGUGUCCACUACCCUGAGUGUUGCCAUGGAGACCAACACGGACAUCAAGCCUUGAGAAAAAUACCCACCACCCCUCAGAUAGAGAUUGUGUUAAGAUACAAAUUGAAGUUGCAUUGAGAGUGUUAAUAUCUGAAAGGUUUUGUGUUAAUGGGUAAUAAUGAAACAUGUAGUCUUCGAGUAGUACUGGCGAGUAGGAGUUGUAUUUAUAUGUGUUGCAUUUGUUCAAUAAUAUUUCAGUGUUUUACUAUGUAUUUAGCAUUAACAGGGUUGCAAGUUAAUUCUUGACCGUGUUGUGAGUUUCGGUGUAUAAAGUCCUACAAGAAAUGCUAAUAAAACCCCAGACCAGCAUUUUGACAACCUCUUCAGUCACCUUCAAUC
Molecule: long non-coding RNA, 1387 nt
Filed under: Salmo salar (Atlantic salmon)
Lineage: Eukaryota; Metazoa; Chordata; Actinopteri; Salmoniformes; Salmonidae
Description: lncRNA (ENSSSAG00000093881.1)
Source: RNAcentral